RNAcentral lists this unclassified non-coding RNA (345 nucleotides) under soil metagenome. Its description in RNAcentral is "partial contains 5.8S ribosomal RNA, internal transcribed spacer 2, and large subunit ribosomal RNA". The stretch from base 1 to 121 matches the Rfam family "5.8S ribosomal RNA", at positions 35 to 154 of the family's 154-position model. The record is from RNAcentral.
GAUGAAGAACGCAGCGAAAUGCGAUAAGUAAUGCGAAUUGCAGAAUUUCCGUGAGUCAUCGAAUCUUUGAACGCACAUUGCGCCCACUGGUAUUCCGGUGGGCAUGCCUGUUCGAGCGUCAUUAUCCUCCCUCAAACCCCGGGUUUGGUGUUGGACCCAAGUUGUGUGAACAACUGGUCUUAAAGACAAUGACGGCGUCCGUGGGACCCUCGGUGCAACGAGCUUUUAGGAGCACGCAUCGAGUUGCAAGGACCUUCCGGGCCGGUCUCCUUUACUAUUUUACAAUGUUGACCUCGGAUCAGGUAGGAAUACCCGCUGAACUUAAGCAUAUCAAUAAGCGGAGGA